GUCUAUGGCCCUACUACCCUAAAAAACUUGCCCAAUCUCCUCUGGUCUCAGAAGUUAAGCAGGGUCAAGCCUGAUUAGUAUUUGGAUGGGAGACAAAUCUUCAAAAGACUGCUUAGAGA
Molecule: ribosomal RNA, 119 nt
Filed under: Castor canadensis (American beaver)
Lineage: Eukaryota; Metazoa; Chordata; Mammalia; Rodentia; Castoridae
Source: RNAcentral